UAAGAUAAAAAUUAAUUAUUAAAUUUAUUAAUAAAAAAAUUUUUAAUUAAAAUUAAUAAUAAAUGGUUUUAGUAUAUUUUAUAGAAAAAAUUAUAAAAUUUAUAGUUAAUAAGUAUUGUGAAAGAAAUUUGAAAUAAUUGAAAAUUUAUUUUUAAAAAAGUAAUUUUAAUUUAUUGUAUCUUGGGUAUCAGAGUUUACUAAUAAAAAUUUUUAUUAAAAAAUUUUCUCGAAUUAAAAAGAUUUAUUAAAUUAUAAAAGUUAUUGUUUCAUAAAUAUUUUUAAUAAUUUAAUUGAAAUGAAAUGUUAAUCGUUUUUUAAUAUAUCUAGUUUUUUUAGAAAAAAAUUUAAUUUUAAAUUUUAAAAAUAAAAUAAUUUUUUAUUUAAUUAUUUAAUUUAGAAUUUUAAUAUUUUAAGGGAUAAGCUUUAAAAUAAAUUUUUAUAAGAAUUUUUAAAAAAUUUAUUAAAAAUUUUAUAAUUUAUAUUGUUGAAUAAAUUUUAAUUUAUUAUAAAUAAUUUUAUUAAAAUUAAAAUUUAAUUUAAAUUCUUUAAUUUUUUAAGAAAAAAUAAAUAUUAAAUAAUAUAUUUUUAGUUAUAAUGGUAAAAUUAGUAUAUAUGUAAAAUAUAUUUAAUUUAAAAUAUUUAUUAUAUUAGAAUUAAUUAAAAAGAAUUCGGCAAAUUUAUUUAAAUUAUAUUCACCUGUUUAUCAAAAACAUGUCUUUUUGUUAAUAAUUUAAAGUCUAAUCUGCCCACUGAUUUAUUAUUAAAGGGCUGCAGUAUUUUGACUGUACAAAGGUAGCAUAAUCAUUAGUCUCUUAAUUGGUGACUUGUAUGAAUGAUUGGAUGAAAUAUAAGCUGUUUCUUAAUUAUUAUUAGAAUUUAAUUUUUUUAUUAAAAAGUGAAAAUAAAUUUAAAAGACGAGAAGACCCCAUAGAGUUUUAUACAUAAAAUAAUUUAAUAAUUAUAUUUAAGAAAAUUAAUUUAAAUUAUAUAUUGUAUUUUAUUGGGGUGAUAAGAAAAUUAAAAAAACUUUUUUAUAAUUUUUCCAUAGAUAAAUGAAUAUAUGAUCCAUUAUUAUUGAUUAAAAGAAAAAAUUACCUUGGGGAUAACAGCGUAAUUUUUUCUUUUAGUUCAAAUAGGAGAAAGAGUUUGCGACCUCGAUGUUGGAUUAAGAUAAAAUUUAAAUGCAAAAGUUUAAAAUUUUGAUCUGUUCGAUCAUUAAAAUCUUACAUGAUCUGAGUUCAAACCGGUUUAAGCCAGGUUGGUUUCUAUCUUUAAAUAAAUUAAAUAUUUUAGUACGAAAGGAUUGAAUAUUUAAAAUAAUUUUUAAUUUUAGAAUUUUAUUAAUUUAUUUAUAAAAAUUAAAAUUUUUAUUAUUAAAAUAAAUAU
Molecule: ribosomal RNA, 1386 nt
Filed under: Zygaena huguenini
Lineage: Eukaryota; Metazoa; Arthropoda; Insecta; Lepidoptera; Zygaenidae
Description: 16S ribosomal RNA
Source: RNAcentral